This 467-nucleotide ribosomal RNA is filed under the name uncultured bacterium. RNAcentral's name for it is "partial 16S ribosomal RNA". It matches the Rfam family "Bacterial small subunit ribosomal RNA", at positions 28 to 506 of the family's 1533-position model. The record is from RNAcentral.
GACGAACGCUGGCGGCGUGCUUAACACAUGCAAGUCGAACGGAAAGGCCCUGCUUUUGUGGGGUGCUCGAGUGGCGAACGGGUGAGUAACACGUGAGUAACCUGCCCUUGACUUUGGGAUAACUUCAGGUAACUGGGGCUAAUACCGGAUAGGUGCUCCUGCUGCAUGGUGGGGGUUGGAAAGUUUCGGCGGUUGGGGAUGGACUCGCGGCUUAUCAGCUGGUUGGUGGGGUAGUGGCUUACCAAGGAUUUGACGGGUAGCCGGCCUGAGAGGGUGACCGGCCGCAUUGGGACGGAGAUACGGCCCAGACUCCUACGGGAGGCAGCAGUGGGGAAGAUGGCAGAGUGGGCGGAGGCAGGAUGCAGCAACGCCGCGGGCGGGAUGACGGCCUUCGGGUGGUAAACAGCUUUCGCCUGCGACGAAGCGUGUGUGACGGAAAUGGGUAAAGAGGCACCGGCUACCUACGU